This 74-nucleotide transfer RNA is filed under the name Propionibacteriaceae bacterium. RNAcentral describes it as "tRNA-Arg". It matches the Rfam family "tRNA". Rfam says of the family: Transfer RNA (tRNA) molecules are approximately 80 nucleotides in length. The record is from RNAcentral. Lineage: Bacteria; Bacillati; Actinomycetota; Actinomycetes; Propionibacteriales; Propionibacteriaceae.
GCCCCCAUAGCUCAGUUGGAUAGAGCACCGGACUUCUAAUCCGAUGGUCGCAGGUUCGAAUCCUGCUGGGGGCG